UACGAAGGGGGCUAGCGUUGUUCGGAUUUACUGGGCGUAAAGCGCACGUAGGCGGAUUGUUAAGUGAGGGGUGAAAUCCCAGGGCUCAACCCUGGAACUGCCUUUCAUACUGGCAAUCUCGAGUCCGGAAGAGGUGAGUGGAACUCCUAGUGUAGAGGUGGAAUUCGUAGAUAUCGAGAGGAACACCUGUGGCGAAGGCGGCCAACUGGACGAGUACUGACGCUGAGACACGAAAGCGUGGGGAGCAAACAGG
RNAcentral lists this ribosomal RNA (253 nucleotides) under uncultured bacterium. RNAcentral describes it as "partial 16S ribosomal RNA". It matches the Rfam family "Bacterial small subunit ribosomal RNA", at positions 524 to 776 of the family's 1533-position model. The record is from RNAcentral.